CAGUCGCCGCGGUAAUACGUAGGGUGCAAGCGUUAAUCGGAAUUACUGGGCGUAAAGCGUGCGCAGGCGGUCUGUUAAGACAGAUGUGAAAUCCCCGGGCUUAACCUGGGAACUGCAUUUGUGACUGGCAGGCUAGAGUGUGGCAGAGGGGGGUGGAAUUCCGCGUGUAGCAGUGAAAUGCGUAGAUAUGCGGAGGAACACCGAUGGCGAAGGCAGCCCCCUGGGCCAGCACUGACGCUCAUGCACGAAAGCGUGGGGAGCAAACAGGAUUAGAUACCCCAGUAGUCCCUGUCUCUUAUAC
This 301-nucleotide ribosomal RNA is filed under the name uncultured bacterium. RNAcentral describes it as "partial 16S ribosomal RNA". It matches the Rfam family "Bacterial small subunit ribosomal RNA", at positions 509 to 807 of the family's 1533-position model. The record is from RNAcentral.